GGAGCGCAACUGACGCUGAAGCUCGAAAGUGCGGGUAUCGAACAGGAUUAGAUACCCUGGUAGUCCGCACGGUAAACGAUGGAUGCCCGCUUUUCGGUCAUUAGACCGUGAGGCCAAGUGAAAACAUUAAGCAUCCCACCUGGGGAGUACGCCGGCAACGGUGAAACUCAAAGGAAUUGACGGGGGCCCGCACAAGCGGAGGAACAUGUGGUUUAAUUCGAUGAUACGCGAGGAACCUUACCCGGGCUUGAAUUGCAGAUGAAGGAUCCAGAGAUGGUGACGCCCUUCGGGGCAUCUGUGAAGGUGCUGCAUGGUUGUCGUCAGCUCGUGCCGUGAGGUGUCGGCUCAAGUGCCAUAACGAGCGCAACCCCUCUCUUCAGUUGCCAUCAGGUAAAGCUGGGCACUCUGGAGACACUGCCACCGCAAGGUGUGAGGAAGGUGGGGAUGACGUCAAAUCAGCACGGCCCUUACGUCCGGGGCUACACACGUGUUACAAUGGGGGGUACAGAAAGCCGGCUGCCCGCAAGGUCAGUCCAAUCAAGAAAGCCUCCCUCAGUUCGGACUGGGGUCUGCAACCCGACCCCACGAAGCUGGAUUCGCU
RNAcentral lists this ribosomal RNA (601 nucleotides) under uncultured bacterium. RNAcentral's name for it is "bacterial SSU rRNA". It matches the Rfam family "Bacterial small subunit ribosomal RNA", at positions 731 to 1336 of the family's 1533-position model. The record is from RNAcentral.